AUUGAACGCUGGCGGCAUGCCUUACACAUGCAAGUCGAACGGCAGCACGGGUGCUUGCACCUGGUGGCGAGUGGCGAACGGGUGAGUAAUACAUCGGAACAUGUCCUGUAGUGGGGGAUAGCCCGGCGAAAGCCGGAUUAAUACCGCAUACGAUCUACGGAUGAAAGCGGGGGCCCUUCGGGCCUCUCGCUAUAGGGUUGGCCGAUGGCUGAUUAGCUAGUUGGUGGGGUAAAGGCCUACCAAGGCGACGAUCAGUAGCUGGUCUGAGAGGACGGCCAGCCACACUGGGACUGAGACACGGCCCAGACUCCUAAGGGAGGCAGCAGUGGGGAAUUUUGGACAAUGGGCGAAAGCCUGAUCCAGCAAUGCCGCGUGUGUGAAGAAGGCCUUCGGGUUGUAAAGCACAUUUGUCCGGAAAGAAAUCCUUGGCCCUAAUACGGUCGGGGGAUGACGGUACCGGAAGAAUAAGCACCGGCUAACUACGUG
RNAcentral lists this ribosomal RNA (486 nucleotides) under uncultured bacterium. Its description in RNAcentral is "partial 16S ribosomal RNA". It matches the Rfam family "Bacterial small subunit ribosomal RNA", at positions 30 to 507 of the family's 1533-position model. The record is from RNAcentral.